GCUCUGUAAGAUUUAUUUAUUUUCUACCUCAACGGAGUUAAGCAUUCAGACAGAAAUACGGAUCGUGCCUCUAUAGAUUUAAAUAUGUUUAUUAUAUAUAUUGUAAAAGAUACUAAAACCUAUAUGCCUUCUAAUGUGUUACAUCUUCAGUGUCUAUAUCAAACAAAAAAGCUUAGAUAUCACCGCAAACCGAAAAUCCAAUCCUGUUGACUUUUCUGAUGAUAUAGCCAAUAUGAGGGAACUGUAACAACAUAGGGAGGGACAUUUCUUUGUUAAAAUGUUUACAGUUCCCUUAAAUAUUUGUCGGAAUUAUUUUCACCUUUUUCAAAUCUAUUUAUUUAGUAAACAAAAGAUUAUAGGUAAACAAAAACAAUAUCGUAUUGUCCUCUAAUAGUCAUCUAAUUAUAAAUCCGUUAUC
Molecule: long non-coding RNA, 418 nt
Filed under: Mytilus galloprovincialis (Mediterranean mussel)
Lineage: Eukaryota; Metazoa; Mollusca; Bivalvia; Mytilida; Mytilidae
Source: RNAcentral